This 497-nucleotide ribosomal RNA is filed under the name uncultured bacterium. RNAcentral's name for it is "partial 16S ribosomal RNA". It matches the Rfam family "Bacterial small subunit ribosomal RNA", at positions 28 to 507 of the family's 1533-position model. The record is from RNAcentral.
GAUGAACGCUGGCGGCGUGCCUAAUACAUGCAAGUCGAGCGAACGGACGAGAAGCUUGCUUCUCUGAUGUUAGCGGCGGACGGGUGAGUAACACGUGGAUAACCUACCUAUAAGACUGGGAUAACUUCGGGAAACCGGAGCUAAUACCGGAUGAUAUUUUGAACCGCAUGGUUCAAAAGUGAAAGACGGUCUUGCUGUCACUUAUAGAUGGAUCCGCGCUGCAUUAGCUAGUUGGUAAGGUAACGGCUUACCAAGGCAACGAUGCAUAUCGGACAUGAGAGGGUCGUCGGCCAGCCUGGAACUGAGAAACGUUACCGACUCCUGCACGAGGAAGCAGUCGAGAAUCUUCCGCGAUGGGCGAAAGCCUGACGGAGCAACGCCGCGUGAGUGAUGAAGGUCUUCGGCUCGUAAAACUCUGUUAUCAGUGAAGAACAUAUGUGUAAGUAACUGUGAAGAUCUUGACGGUACCUAAUCAGAAAGCCACGGCUAACUACGUG